GUGACUUACGCUGGGGUGGACUGAUGCUAAGGUUUUCCAAUGUUGCCUAUCUCGUUGGUUAGGAUUUGUUGGAUUCUUUCAGACAGCGUUAGGAAGUAAGAGAAAAGAAGUGAUGGGAAAUGGACACCUAGCCUCACUGGAACACGUGGCCGCUUGUGCAUUGUUCUAUUACUCGCAGCGUGGUUAGUUCAAACAUAGACAAGCGUAAAGGAGAAAUGAGCAAUCGAUCGUGGAUCUUCCAAGGAGAACUGAGGCUACAAAAACACCACCAAUAAAGUACUUUUGAGUUUAAACCACGUUCAAAACGGAAAACUUCUCCCGCCUGCCUAAUUUAUGUAAAUUAUGUCUUGAAAACUUUACGCACGCUUUGAAACUUAUUUAUGAUCAUCCAUCCUAAAUUUGAAGGUUAAAUGUCAUACUUUCACAAAACGGACUAAAUGUUUUUAUUACUAUAAUUGUACUUUUCGCCAUCGGUCAGCUCGCGUUUCGACAUUCUUCUCGUUUAGCCCUGAUCGAACAGUCAGAGUUAGGUAAAAUUGCUUUCGGACAGAACACGUUUUUUCACUUUUUCAGUAAAAUGUCUCU
This 585-nucleotide long non-coding RNA is filed under the name Stylophora pistillata. RNAcentral describes it as "uncharacterized LOC111334054, transcript variant X2". Lineage: Eukaryota; Metazoa; Cnidaria; Anthozoa; Scleractinia; Pocilloporidae. The record is from RNAcentral.